Molecule: long non-coding RNA, 1452 nt
Organism: Salvelinus fontinalis (brook trout)
Lineage: Eukaryota; Metazoa; Chordata; Actinopteri; Salmoniformes; Salmonidae
Exons: 3
Source: RefSeq, a predicted model, not a curated record
ACAUUACCUAUCUAUAAUGACAGGCAGAUAGAGACAGGAAAGGUGUGCAGUGAACAUUACCCAUCUAUAAUGACAGGCAGGUAGAGACAGGAAAAGUGUGCAGUGAACAUUACCCAUCUAUAAUGACAGGCAGGUAGAGACAGGAAAGGUGUGCAGUGAACAUUACCCAUCUAUAAUGACAGGCAGGUAGAGACAGGAAAGGUGUGCAGUGAACAGUACCUAUCUAUAAUGACAGGCAGGUAGAGACAGGAAAGGUGUGCAGUGAACAUUACCCAUCUAUAAUGACAGGCAGGUAGAGACAGGAAAGGUGUGCAGUGAACAGUACCUAUCUAUAAUGACAGGCAGGUAGAGACAGGAAAGGUGUGCAGUGAACAGUACCCAUCUAUAAUGACAGGCAGGUAGAGACAGGAAAGGUGUGCAGUGAACAGUACCUAUCUAUAAUGACAGGCAGGUAGAGACAGGAAAGGUGUGCAGUGAACAGUACCUAUCUAUAAUGACAGGCAGGUAGAGACAGGAAAGGUGUGCAGUGAACAGUACCUAUCUAUAAUGACAGGCAGGUAGAGACAGGAAAGGUGUGCAGUGAACAUUACCCAUCUAUAAUGACAGGCAGGUAGAGACAGGAAAGGUGUGCAGUGAACAUUACCCAUCUAUAAUGACAGGCAGGUAGAGACAGGAAAGGUGUGCAGUGAACAGUACCUAUCUAUAAUGACAGGCAGGUAGAGACAGGAAAGGUGUGCAGUGAACAUUACCCAUCUAUAAUGACAGGCAGGUAGAGACAGGAAAGGUGUGCAGUGAACAUUACCCAUCUAUAAUGACAGGCAGGUAGAGACAGGAAAGGUGUGCAGUGAACAGUACCCAUCUAUAAUGACAGGCAGGUAGAGACAGGAAAGGUGUGCAGUGAACAGUACCUAUCUAUAAUGACAGGCAGGUAGAGACAGGAAAGGUGUGCAGUGAACAGUACCUAUCUAUAAUGACAGGCAGGUAGAGACAGGAAAGGUGUGCAGUGAACAGUACCCAUCUAUAAUGACAGGCAGGUAGAGACAGGAAAGGUGUGCAGUGAACAGUACCUAUCUAUAAUGACAGGCAGGUAGAGACAGGAAAGGUGUGCAGUGAACAUUACCCAUCUAUAAUGACAGGCAGGUAGAGACAGGAAAGGUGUGCAGUGAACAGUACCUAUCUAUAAUGACAGGCAGGUAGAGACAGGAAAGGUGUGCAGUGAACAGUACCUAUCUAUAAUGACAGGCAGGUAGAGACAGGAAAGGUGUGCAGUGAACAGUACCCAUCUAUAAUGACAGGCAGGUAGAGACAGGAAAGGUGUGCAGUGAACAGUACCUAUCUAUAAUGACAGGCAGGUAGAGAGAGGAAAGGUGUGCAGUGAACAGUACCCAUCUAUAAUGACAGGCAGGUAGAGACAGGAAAGGUGUGCAGUGAACAUUACCUACCUAUAAUGAC